RNAcentral lists this ribosomal RNA (587 nucleotides) under Silvibacterium bohemicum. Its description in RNAcentral is "bacterial SSU rRNA". It matches the Rfam family "Bacterial small subunit ribosomal RNA", at positions 128 to 747 of the family's 1533-position model. The record is from RNAcentral. Lineage: Bacteria; Pseudomonadati; Acidobacteriota; Terriglobia; Terriglobales; Acidobacteriaceae.
ACCCUUGAGUGGGGAAUAACCUAGAGAAAUCUGGGCUAAUACCGCAUAACACCUACGGGUCAAAGGAGCAAUUCGCUUAAGGAGGGGGUCGCGGCAGAUUAGCUAGUUGGCGGGGUAAUGGCCCACCAAGGCGGUGAUCUGUAUCCGGCCUGAGAGGGCGCACGGACACACUGGAACUGAAACACGGUCCAGACUCCUACGGGAGGCAGCAGUGGGGAAUUUUGCGCAAUGGGGGAAACCCUGACGCAGCAACGCCGCGUGGAGGAUGAAGUCCCUUGGGACGUAAACUCCUUUCGAUCGGGACGAUUAUGACGGUACCGAGAGAAGAAGCCCCGGCUAACUUCGUGCCAGCAGCCGCGGUAAUACGAGGGGGGCGAGCGUUGUUCGGAAUUAUUGGGCGUAAAGGGUGCGUAGGCGGUUCGGUAAGUCUUAUGUGAAAUCUUCGGGCUCAACUCGAAGUCUGCAUGAGAAACUGCCGGGCUUGAGUGUGGGAGAGGUGAGUGGAAUUUCCGGUGUAGCGGUGAAAUGCGUAGAUAUCGGAAGGAACACCUGUGGCGAAAGCGGCUCACUGGACCACAACUGACGCU